Molecule: unclassified non-coding RNA, 500 nt
Filed under: Hevea brasiliensis (rubber tree)
Lineage: Eukaryota; Viridiplantae; Streptophyta; Magnoliopsida; Malpighiales; Euphorbiaceae
Source: RNAcentral
CUCAUGUGUGUGUGUACUGUGUAUUUGUGUUGCAGCCUAUUUGUUGAGUUUGAAACACAUAUUCAUGCAAGACUAUUUUGUGGCUGAGUGGCAGUAGUGAUAUUAACAAUCUAGUCAACUAUCUUCGCUCUAAGCCAUGCUGGAUUAGCAAGGGAAAAAUAAUUCUGAAUCUUCCCAACCAUCUGAUUUGAUCAUGCUCCAAGUAUUUCUUGGUUAAAUCCACCUAUGCACUUUGAUCAUGCUUCUAGCUUUUUUAUGAUUAAAUUUUGUUGCUAUAUUUGUGACUCUAAUCUUUUGAAAUGCUACCAAUUGAUUUGGGUUUAGAUUUUAAAACUGACAUAAAGAAAAUGAGAGAUUUGAUUUAUCUAAGCAUGUACUGAGCUUUGAUGUGAUCCUACCUGCAAACUUGGACAUUUAUUUGUUUCUGAAUUCUCUUUGGAUAUGGAUAUGAUUUCUGUUGCUGACAGAAUAUUUUUUGCAGCUCUGGAGAGAAGUGAGGG